UACGUAGGUGACCAGCGUUGUCCGGAUUUACUGGGCGGAAAGAGCGCGCAGGCGGUCGUUCAAGUCGCGUGUGAAAGCCCCCGGCUCAACUGGGGAGGGUCACGCGAUACUGAUCGACUCGAAGGCAGGAGAGGGAAGUGGAAUUCCCGGUGUAGUGGUGAAAUGCGUAGAUAUCGGGAGGAACACCAGUGGCGAAGGCGACUUCCUGGCCUGUUCUUGACGCUGAGGCGCGAAAGCGUGGGGAGCAAACAGG
RNAcentral lists this ribosomal RNA (253 nucleotides) under uncultured bacterium. Its description in RNAcentral is "partial 16S ribosomal RNA". It matches the Rfam family "Bacterial small subunit ribosomal RNA", at positions 524 to 776 of the family's 1533-position model. The record is from RNAcentral.